GACGAACGCUGGCGGCGUGCUUAACACAUGCAAGUCGAGCGGACAGGCCACUUCGGUGGUACUCGAGCGGCGAACGGGUGCGUAACACGUGAGUAAUCUGCCCCUACCUUUGGGAUAGCCACCGGAAACGGUGAUUAAUACCGGAUAUGACCAUUUGUCGCAUGGCGUGUGGUGGAAAGUUUUUCGGUGUGGGAUGUGCUCGCGGCCUAUCAGCUUGAUUGCGAGAGAUUGGUUGACAAUGGCUUGGACUGGUAGCCGACCUUAGAGGGUGAACGGUCACAAGGGGACUGAGAGAGGGCGCAGACGCGUAUGGUAGGCAGCAGUGGGGAAUAUUGGACAAUGGGGGCAAGCCUGUGCUAGCAACGCCGCGAGCGUGAUGACGUCCUUCGGGUGGUAAACCUCUGUCAGUGCCGACGAAGCGAAAGUGACGGUAGGUACAGAAGAAGCACCGGCCAACUACGUG
Molecule: ribosomal RNA, 463 nt
Filed under: uncultured bacterium
Lineage: Bacteria
Description: partial 16S ribosomal RNA
Rfam family: Bacterial small subunit ribosomal RNA
Source: RNAcentral